This 253-nucleotide ribosomal RNA is filed under the name uncultured bacterium. Its description in RNAcentral is "partial 16S ribosomal RNA". It matches the Rfam family "Bacterial small subunit ribosomal RNA", at positions 524 to 776 of the family's 1533-position model. The record is from RNAcentral.
UACAGAGGAUGCAAGCGUUAUCCGGAAUGAUUGGGCGUAAAGCGUCUGUAGGUGGCUUUUUAAGUCCGCCGUCAAAUCCCAGGGCUCAACUCUGGACAGGCGGUGGAAACUACCAAGCUGGAGUACGGUAGGGGCAGAGGGAAUUUCCGGUGGAGCGGUGAAAUGCGUAGAUAUCGGAAGGAACGCCGGUGGCGAAAGCGACGUGCUGGACCUCUUCUGACGCUGAGGCGCGAAAGCCAGGGGAGCAAACGGG